GUGACGUCCUCAGGGGGGAGGGCAAAUGGGACAGUCGCCCUCUAUGGCAUUUUUUAUCUUCAAAAUUAUGUAAUUUUUUGAGACUGUUUUGAUAAGAAAUAGUGUCAUAUUGUCGUUGUAAAUUGAGUUGCCUAUACCACGGAAAUUAAUGAAGUGAUGAUCUACAAAGCAAAACCAAUGAAUUUUAUUACAUUUAAACGCCAAAUGUCAUAAGUGUGCUUUGCUCGUAUGUCAGUAAUAGCUAAACUCAGACAUUUUAAUAAAAUAAGUUUGAUUCUUUGCGUAUUACAAUUACAUAAUAUUCUGUAAAUAUUAUGAUAAGAAUUUAUACCAGAACACAGAUAUUAAGAUUUCGAGACAAUAUGGUCCCGAGUCAUAUGGAUCUAUUUAUUUUUGGUGGUAUUUUCAACAUUUCGUAUUUAUUCAUAUUACUUAUAUUUUAUAUCAUAGGUAAGUAUAAUUGAUGUAAAAUUACCCCUACCUACCUGUUAUGUUGGACAUAAUCAUUAAGUAAAGCUAAAAAAGUGGACGGAUAUACUUCGCACGUGGGUGACGCCAGUGUUGGUGGGAAGUUUGAAAGGUGGGCUACCGACGGGAAUUUAAUGUACGUCUGUAAACAACGAUAAACCAUUGCUAACGAAAAAACGAUUUUGAACCGAGUUCAAUUGAAAAUUUUUUUAUUGUCAUAUUAUGGUUAAACGAUUAAAACAAUGUACGUCACCACGACAAC
Cinara cedri is the source of this 730-nucleotide non-coding RNA. Lineage: Eukaryota; Metazoa; Arthropoda; Insecta; Hemiptera; Aphididae. The record is from the annotation of a GenBank genome assembly.